AGAUGUGAGGGCAAUCUGGCUGUGGCAUCUGCCAUCUCAUGAAUCACCAGGGUUGAUUUGGCUGAUCUAGCUGGCUAGGCUGGUGUCCUUUGUCUCCCUCACCAUGCUUUGUGCAUCCCUCCUAAGGCUGCACACUCAGUCAAAAAGGACAACCUUCCCCAACUAGAGAAAGACCUAUCUUCAGUUAAGAAUAUACUAGUAGCUGUGUUCCCCUGAUAGAACUUCAAACAAGCUCUCAAGGAACUACUUAAGUGGGGCCAGUAAGAACUUCGGUGCAUGUAACUCAGUUCAAAUGCUUACACCGAGAGAUUGGACCAAACCAAUCCAGCUUU
This is an unclassified non-coding RNA of Mesocricetus auratus (golden hamster), 332 nucleotides long. Its record names the gene 7SK. It matches the Rfam family "7SK RNA". Rfam says of the family: 7SK was discovered as an abundant small nuclear RNA in the mid-70s but a possible function has only recently been suggested. Two independent studies have found that 7SK RNA binds the CDK9/cyclin T complex (known as elongation factor P-TEFb). Lineage: Eukaryota; Metazoa; Chordata; Mammalia; Rodentia; Cricetidae. The record is from Ensembl.